GUGCAGCAGUCGAGAAUUUUUCUCAAUGGGGGCAACCCUGAAGGAGCGACGCCGCGUGGAGGAUGAAGGCUUUCGGGUUGUAAACUCCUGUCAUUUGAGAACAAGUGUGAGCAAGUAACUACUGCUCAUUUGAUAGUAUCAGAAGAGGAAGGGACGGCUAACUCUGUGCCAGCAGCCGCGGUAAUACAGAGGUCCCAAGCGUUGUUCGGAUUCAUUGGGCGUAAAGGGUGCGUAGGUGGCGCCGUAAGUGGGGUGUGAAAUCUCGGAGCUUAACUCCGAAACUGCAUUCCAUACUGCGGUGCUUGAGGACUGGAGAGGAGACUGGAAUUCAUGGUGUAGCAGUGAAAUGCGUAGAGAUCAUGAGGAAGACCAGUGGCGAAGGCGGGUCUCGUGGACAGUUCCUGACACUGAGGCACGAAGGCUAGGGGAG
This 430-nucleotide ribosomal RNA is filed under the name uncultured organism. RNAcentral's name for it is "bacterial SSU rRNA". It matches the Rfam family "Bacterial small subunit ribosomal RNA", at positions 346 to 768 of the family's 1533-position model. The record is from RNAcentral.